UACGUAGGGUGCAGGCGUUAAUCGGAAUUACUGGGCGUAAAGCGUGCGCAGGCGGUUUGCUAAGACAGGUGUGAAAUCCCCGGGCUUAACCUGGGAACUGCGCUUGUUACUGGCAGGCUUGAGUGUGGCAGAGGGGGGUGGAAUUCCACGUGUAGCAGUGAAAUGCGUAGAGAUGUGGAGGAACACCGAUGGCGAAGGCAGCCCCCUGGGCUAACACUGAUGCUCAUGCACGAAAGCGUGGGGAGCAAACAGG
Molecule: ribosomal RNA, 253 nt
Filed under: uncultured bacterium
Lineage: Bacteria
Description: partial 16S ribosomal RNA
Rfam family: Bacterial small subunit ribosomal RNA
Source: RNAcentral